GGAUCGAUAGCUCAGUCGGUUAGAGCACCCGUCUCAUAAACGGGCGGCCUUGGGUUCGAUUCCCAAACGAUCCACCA
This 77-nucleotide transfer RNA is filed under the name Caudoviricetes sp. RNAcentral's name for it is "tRNA-Met". It matches the Rfam family "tRNA". From Rfam's summary of the family: Transfer RNA (tRNA) molecules are approximately 80 nucleotides in length. Their secondary structure includes four short double-helical elements and three loops (D, anti-codon, and T loops). Further hydrogen bonds mediate the characteristic L-shaped molecular structure. tRNAs have two regions of fundamental functional importance: the anti-codon, which is responsible for specific mRNA codon recognition, and the 3' end, to which the tRNAs corresponding amino acid is attached (by aminoacyl-tRNA synthetases). tRNAs cope with the degeneracy of the genetic code in two manners: having more than one tRNA (with a specific anti-codon) for a particular amino acid; and 'wobble' base-pairing, i.e. permitting non-standard base-pairing at the 3rd anti-codon position. The record is from RNAcentral. Lineage: Duplodnaviria; Heunggongvirae; Uroviricota; Caudoviricetes.